ACUUUUCUCCCGUUUUUUUCCCUUCCUUCCCGUGGCCUGAUAGGAGCUAUUUAAAUCAGCCACGCAGCGAAUCAAACCCAACACUGCUCUCCUUCUAUGCGCCUCAAGUGAGCGGAGAGGCGCAACAUUAAAAACCUCACCAAAGCGCUGUUAUUUCAAUGGACUAAAGUUGUUUUUUCCCUCACAGGCGAUCCUUGAGGUGAAAACAAAAGGCGUCUUGAACUGAAGAGCAACGAGGGAACUUCGCCAAGGCCAAUGGCUUCCCCAACUCAGGAAAUGGGACCAUCCAAAGUUCUAUCAUAACAUUGACGAUACAAAGAAGAUGGGAGAGUCAUCGCUGCGACAAAAGGCAAGCACCUAAAAGAUAGGCGCACAGUGUCAUUUGACCGGGGUUAAUGAUUCAGUGCGGGAUCAGAGCGGGUUUCCCAUAAAGUCGGCGACAGAGGACAGAGAGGACGAUAAUAUGUUUGGU
This is a long non-coding RNA of Eleginops maclovinus (Patagonian blennie), 472 nucleotides long. RefSeq lists it as uncharacterized. The transcript has 3 exons. The record is from RefSeq and is a predicted model, not a curated record. Lineage: Eukaryota; Metazoa; Chordata; Actinopteri; Perciformes; Eleginopidae.